GGAAAUAAUAGACAAUUAAACACAAUUCCCUGGUUUAAUUAAGUGCAAUAAACUAAAUAUAGUUCAAGAAAUUAACACUCAUCACAUAGCCUUAAACAGGAUGAGAACCCUUGAUUUGAAAUUCUUUACCUUNAGUGGGGUUGAGCUUAACUGUAUGUGUUGACAAGGUUCAAGUUUAGGGUUGUAUGGGGGAAAUUGAAAGGCAGUUGAAAAGCAUUGAGCUCAAUUGUUGAGAAAGAAAAAUGCAUGAGAAAAAGAAAAGAAAAGAAGAAAAGCAUGAAGAUGAGCUCAAUGUAAAAAUAAAAGAAAAGGGAAGAAGUUGGGAAUAAGUGAGAUUGGUGAGGGAGAGAGUUGUGCUUAAACUUU
This 366-nucleotide long non-coding RNA is filed under the name Vigna radiata. RNAcentral's name for it is "long non-coding RNA (VRAD_LNC017628)". The record is from RNAcentral. Lineage: Eukaryota; Viridiplantae; Streptophyta; Magnoliopsida; Fabales; Fabaceae.